GUGCCAGCCGCCGCGGUAAUACUGAGGAUCCGAGCGUUAUCCGGAUUUAUUGGGUUUAAAGGGUGCGCAGGCGGCCUUGCAAGUCAGCGGUCAAAUCGUGGAGCUCAACUCCAUUCCGCCGUUGAUACUGCCGGGCUUGAUUGCGGUUGAGGUUGGCGGAAUUCGUCGUGUAGCGGUGAAAUGCAUAGAUAUGACGAAGAACCCCGAUUGCGUAGGCAGCUGACCAAGCCGUAAAUGGCGCUCAUGCACGAAAGUGCGGGGAUCGAACAGGAUUAGAUACCCUGGUAGUCCGCACAGUAAACGAUGAAUACUUGCUUUUGGCGAUACAUUGUCAGAGGCAAAGCGAAAGCGAUAAGUAUUCCACCUGGGGAGUACGCCGGCAACGGUGAAACUCAAAGGAAUUGACGG
This 408-nucleotide ribosomal RNA is filed under the name uncultured bacterium. Its description in RNAcentral is "bacterial SSU rRNA". It matches the Rfam family "Bacterial small subunit ribosomal RNA", at positions 505 to 916 of the family's 1533-position model. The record is from RNAcentral.